This 403-nucleotide ribosomal RNA is filed under the name bacterium. RNAcentral's name for it is "partial 16S ribosomal RNA". It matches the Rfam family "Bacterial small subunit ribosomal RNA", at positions 355 to 776 of the family's 1533-position model. The record is from RNAcentral.
UGGGGAAUAUUGCACAAUGGAGGGAACUCUGAUGCAGCGACGCCGCGUAAACGAAGAAGGCUUUCGAGUCGUAAAGUUCUUUUAUAUGGGAAGAUAAUGACGGUACCAUAAGAAGAAGCCCCGGCUAACUACGUGCCAGCAGCCGCGGUAAUACGUAGGGGGCUAGCGUUGUCCGGAAUCACUGGGCGUAAAGGGUUCGCAGGCGGAAAUGCAAGUCAGGUGUAAAAGGCAGUAGCUUAACUACUGUAAGCAUUUGAAACUGCAUAUCUUGAGAAGAGUAGAGGUAAGUGGAAUUUUUAGUGUAGCGGUGAAAUGCGUAGAUAUUAAAAAGAAUACCGGUGGCGAAGGCGACUUACUGGGCUCAUUCUGACGCUGAGGAACGAAAGCGUGGGUAGCAAACAGG